GAUGAACGCUGGCGGCGUGCCUAAUACAUGCAAGUCGAGCGAACGGACGAGAAGCUUGCUUCUCUGAUGUUAGCGGCGGACGGGUGAGUAACACGUGGAUAACCUACCUAUAAGACUGGGAUAACUUCGGGAAACCGGAGCUAAUACCGGAUAAUAUUUUGAACCGCAUGGUUCAAAAGUGAAAGACGGUCUUGCUUUCACUUAUAGAUGGAUCCGCGCUGCAUUAGCUAGUUGGUAAGGUAACGGCUUACCAAGGCAACGAUGCAUAGCCGACCUGAGAGGGUGAUCGGCCACACUGGAACUGAGACACGGUCCAGACUCCUACGGGAGGCAGCAGUAGGGAAUCUUCCGCAAUGGGCGAAAGCCUGACGGAGCAACGCCGCGUGAGUGAUGAAGGUCUUCGGAUCGUAAAACUCUGUUAUUAGGGAAGAACAUAUGUGUAAGUAACUGUGCACAUCUUGACGGUACCUAAUCAGAAAGCCACGGCUAACUACGUG
This 497-nucleotide ribosomal RNA is filed under the name uncultured bacterium. RNAcentral's name for it is "partial 16S ribosomal RNA". It matches the Rfam family "Bacterial small subunit ribosomal RNA", at positions 28 to 507 of the family's 1533-position model. The record is from RNAcentral.